RNAcentral lists this ribosomal RNA (801 nucleotides) under uncultured Paraglomus. RNAcentral's name for it is "SSU rRNA". It matches the Rfam family "Eukaryotic small subunit ribosomal RNA", at positions 314 to 1114 of the family's 1831-position model. Lineage: Eukaryota; Fungi; Glomeromycota; Glomeromycetes; Paraglomerales; Paraglomeraceae. The record is from RNAcentral.
AUCAACUUUCGAUGGUAGGAUAGAGGCCUACCAUGGUGGUAACGGGUAACGGGGUGUUAGGGCACGACACCGGAGAGGGAGCCUGAGAAACGGCUACCACAUCCAAGGAUGGCAGCAGGCGCGCAAAUUACCCAAUCCCGACACGGGGAGGUAGUGACAAUAAAUAACAAUACGGGGUCCUUUCGGGUUUCGUAAUUGGAAUGAGUACAAUUUAAAUCUCUUAACGAGGAACAAUUGGAGGGCAAGUCUGGUGCCAGCAGCCGCGGUAAUUCCAGCUCCAAUAGCGUAUAUUAAAGUUGUUGCAGUUAAAAAGCUCGUAGUUGAAUUUCAGGCCUGGCUGGACGGUCCGCCCUUCGGGUGAGUACUGUCUGUGGUCGGGUCCUACCUUCUGGCGAAGCGUCAUGGCCUUAACCGGCCGUGGCGGGGAACCAGGACUUUUACUGUGAAAAAAUUAGAGUGUUCAAAGCAGGCAAUCGCUUGGAUACAUUAGCAUGGAAUAAUGGAAUAGGACAAUGGUUCUAUUUGUUGGUUUCUAGGACCGUUGUAAUGAUUAAUAGGGAUAGUUGGGGGCAUUAGUAUUCAAUUGUCAGAGGUGGAAUUCUUGGAUUUAUUGAAGACUAACUACUGCGAAAGCAUUUGCCAAGGAUGUUUUCAUUAAUCAAGAACGAAAGUUAGGGGAUCGAAGACGAUCAGAUACCGUCGUAGUCUUAACCAUAAACUAUGCCGACUAGGGAUCGGAUGAUGCUAUUUUUUAAUGACUCAUUCGGCGCCUUACGGGAAACCAAAGUGUUUGGGUUAAUC